GUUAAGUUUAGUUCCCAUGUAAAGGUGGCCAUGCACGACAUGCAAAGGUGGUCAUGCUCGAAGAAAUAGCAGCAAGCAGUGGUGCCAUGGUGUGCAGCAACUGAAGUUUGAAGCUGCCAAUCCACUUGCUAUUUUUUAGUUCCAUUUUGAUUGUUUUGUAAUCUAGUUCAUGUUGAACUAAGUAGGUAAAUGUUUUGACAUUGAUUGACUGAAAAGUCAGCAAUGCAAGUUGUACAAGCUAAUCUUGUAAGUUUCAAUGCAAAUUAGUGGAGUUAGGUAGUUGAUUAGGUGAUUACUUGUUUGUUUUACUUGUUGACAGAAAUAUGUAAUGGCUUAAUGCCUUGUUGAUGUGUUAAUGAAAAAGAUCAGCUCAUUUUUCAUUCAAUCUUCUUCUCUCUUUUCUGUUAUUCACUAGCUAGUUUCACUUUCUGUUUUGCUUCUGAGUUUGUUUCUUCACCAAGGCUCGAGACUUGCUAUUCAAGCAAGACACAAAACAGCCUGCUAUUGUCUUAUUGUUCCAACAAUUGGUAUCUAAAGCCGUUGUCUUAGUGGACCUGUUGCUUCAAACUAAGGAACCUGAUGGCUUCUUCAGGAUUUUCACCAGCAGCCCCACCAGUCUUCAAUGGAGAAAGCUUUCAUAUAUGGCUGGUAAAGAUGAAGACUUACCUGCAGGCCUUUGAUCUGUGGGAAGUUGUUAACACAGAUGCUGAGCCAGCACCACUGAGGGCUAAUCCCACAGUAGCUCAGAUCAGACAACAUGCUGAUGAGAGGACCAAAAGGCACAAAGCCAUGUCCUGCAUUCAGAACUGUGUAUCAGAUGUCAUCUUUACCAGAAUUAUGGCCUGUGAGACUCCAAAACAGGCCUGGGACAAGCUUAAGGAGGAGUUUCAAGGCACUGAGAGAACAAGGCAACAGCAGCUGUUGAAUUUGAGAAGGGAUUUCGAGAAUUUGAAGAUGAAGGAAGAAGAAACAGUGAAGCAGUAUUCAGAUAGAAUUAUGGCAGUGGUUAACAGUAUAAGGCUCCUAGGUGAGCACUUUGAUGAGGCAAGAAUUGUGGAGAAAGUCCUCUCCACUUUGCUUGAGAAAUAUGAAGCAAAGAUAUCCUCCCUAGAGGACUCAAGAGACCUUGCUAGCAUUUCUUUGACUGAGUUCAUCAACACCUUCUAUGCUCAGGAACAAAGGAGAGCUAGCAGAGCUGAAGAUCACCAAGAAGGUGCAUUUCAAGCCAAGGCCAGAGAAGCCUCGAGCACCAAUGCUCAAAGAGGCAAAAAGCCUUGGAAAAACAGGUCUAAGCCUGAUACUGCAAGGAGUAAUGACCAGCCCUGCAGACAUUGCAAGAGGCCAGGUCAUCCAGAAGACAGAUGCUGGUUUAGGCCAGAUGCAGUAUGCCAACACUGCAAGAAGAAGGGCCAUGUUGAAAGGGUCUGUAAAAACAGGAGUAAGCCAAGGCAGAAUCAAUUUCAGCAGUCAAAGGUUGAAGCUCGAGUAGCUGAGGACAGUAGUGACCAAGAAGAACAGGUCUUUGCUGUUUCCUGCCUAGCUGUUGAGAAGAAAUGCUCAAAAGGCUGGUUGUUGGACAGUGGUUGCACUAACCACAUGUCACCAGAUGCCUCCUUGUUUAAAACCUUGGAUAGAAGUUAUAAAACCAAGGUCAAUGUUGGAAAUGGUCAGUUUAUAAGGGCUGAAGGAAGAGGAGAAGUGCUGAUAUGUACUCCCACUGGCAACAAGAUCAUUCCAAAUGUGCUGUUAGUGCCAGAGAUUGACAGAAACCUUCUCAGCAUAGCUCAACUGCUCGAGAAAGGUUAUUCUGUUGUGUUCAAGGACAAACAAUGCCACAUUACUGAUCCAAGUGGAUCAAGCCUUAUGACAGUCACAAUGACUGAUAAAUGCUUUGAGGUUCACUGGGCUAAUGACUCAAACUCAGCAUACACAGCCUCUGUUGAUGACUCCAAGCUUUGGCAUCAAAGGCUUGGACAUGCCAACUUCAGAUCAAUGGCUCGAAUGGCCAAAGAAGGCUUGGCAGAGAACUUCACCAGCUCAGUGGAGCAUGAUGAUGUGUGUGAAGUUUGCCAGAUGGGGAAACAGGCUAGACUGCCAUUUCCUACAGAUUCAGCUUGGAGAGCUACUGAAAGACUGCAGCUGGUGCACUCUGAUGUAUGUGGCCCGAUGAGGACUGAAUCACUCAGCAAAAACAGGUAUUUCAUCCUCUUCAUUGAUGAUUUUACAAGGUUUUGCUGGAUUUUCUUCUUAAAACACAAGUCUGAAGUAGCUCAAGUGUUUGUGAAGUUUAAAAAUGCUGUAGAGACAGAAACAGGUUGCAAGCUGAAAUCGAUAAGGACAGACAAUGGCACUGAGUACACUUCAGCUCAGUUUCAAGCCAUUUGCAAUGAUGCUGGUAUCAAACAUCAGCUUACAAAUGUCUACACACUUCAGCAGAAUGGGGUAGCUGAAAGAAAGAACAGAAGCCUGAUGGAUAUGGCCAGAUGUCUCCUGUUUGAAAAGAAACUGCCCAAGACCAUGUGGGCUGAGGCAGUAAACACUGCUGUUUACCUUCAGAACAGGCUUCCUACCAAAGCUCUUGCAUCCGAGACACCUUUCGAGGCUUGGUUUAGUUUCAAGCCUUCCUUGGCACAUCUGAAGGUGUUUGGUUGCCUGUGUUAUGCACAAAUACCAGCAGCAAAGAGAGACAAGCUCUCUAAAAGGGCUCAACCAGGUGUUCUAGUAGGCUACAGCUCAGUCAAGAAGGGCUACAGGGUUCUGGAUCCCUUGACAAACAAAGUCCAGGUGAGCAGAGAUGUCAUCUUUGAUGAAAAAGCCUACUGGAAUUGGGAGAAAAAUGAGCCAGAAGCAGUUUCAGAAGACCUAGUGCCUAAUCAAGCUAAACUUGAGCAGCUAGGACCUGAAAUGGAUGUUGAUGAUGUGCCUGUGAGAGGCACAAGGCCCCUAGAUGAUAUUUAUGAAAGGGCACAGGUUGCAAUAGCAGAACCUAGCAGUUUUGAAGAGGCUGAGGCAGAUGAAGGCUGGAAACUAGCUAUGCUCAAUGAAAUCAACAUGAUUGAGAAAAACCAGACAUGGGAGCUGGUUGAUAAACCUACUGGAAAGAAGACCAUUGGAGUAAAAUGGGUCUAUCGAGUAAAACAGAAUGCAGAUGGCAGUCUGAACAAGCUAAAAGCCAGGCUUGUUGUCAAAGGAUUUAGCCAAAGGUAUGGUCUGGAAUACCUGGAGACAUUUGCACCAGUAGCCAGGCUUGACACAGUUAGAAUGAUAGUUGCCUUGGCUGCUCAACAUCAGUGGACCAUUCAUCAGCUUGAUGUUAAGUCUGCAUUUCUCAAUGGUUUCCUGGAAGAAGAAAUCUACAUCGAGCAGCCUCAAGGAUUUGUGAUCACUGGCAAAGAACACAUGGUGUACAGACUGAAAAAGGCUUUAUAUGGCCUGAAACAGGCUCCUCGAGCCUGGUAUGCUCGAAUUGACUCUUAUUUGCUCAGUUUGGAAUUUGAGAGAAGUCCCAGUGAACCAACACUGUAUGUGAAGAAGAACCAAGCUGAGACUCAGCUUAUCCUGUCACUCUAUGUUGAUGAUCUAUUGGUAACUGGAGGAGAUAGAAGAAUGCUGGAAGAUUUCAAAAGAAAAAUGAUGGAAAUGUUUGAAAUGUCUGAUUUAGGCAGAAUGAACUACUUCCUUGGAAUGGAAAUGAGGCAAACAGAAAAGGGAAUCUUUCUUAGUCAGAGUUCUUUUACUAUGAAGAUCCUGGAUAAGUUCUCUAUGAAGAACUGCAAGCCAACAAGCACACCAAUGGCUGUUGGAGUGAAGCUUUCGAGGCAAGGGAGUGGUGAACCAAUUUGCGAGACCAUGUACAAGAGUCUCAUUGGUAGUCUGUUGUAUUUGACUGCAACAAGACCCGAUAUCAUGUUUGCUGUUAGUGUGCUAUCGAGAUACAUGAAUUGCUGCAAUGAUCAGCACUUUCAAGCAGCUAAAAGAGUGCUAAGAUACAUCAAAGGCACCAUUGAUCAUGGUGUAUUGUUCAAAAGGGCUGAAAACAUGAAGCUGAUAGGCUAUGUUGAUAGUGACUGGGCUGGAUCGAGUGAUGACAUGAGGAGCACAUCUGGAUAUGCAUUUAGUCUUGGCUCAGGCAUGUUUUGCUGGAGUUCUAAGAAACAAAGUCAGGUGGCACAAUCAACAGCAGAAGCUGAAUAUGUUGCUGCUGCAUCUGCUGUGAAUCAAGCCAUAUGGCUUAGAAAAAUCUUGGCUGAUUUAAACCAAAACCAAAAGGAGGCAACAGAGAUUUAUUGUGACAACAAAUCUGCUGUUGCAAUUGCAAAAAAUCCCGUUUUUCAUGGCAGAACUAAGCACUUCAAUAUUAAGUUGCAUGUUAUAAGGGAGAUGGAACAAGCUCAUGAAAUCGAGCUGAUUCAUUGCAAUUCAGAAGUGCAAAUUGCUGAUAUCUUCAAAAAGGCACUCAAUGUGUCUAAAUUUGUUAAAUUCAAAAGGGAAUUAGGUGUUACUAGCAUGGAAACUAAGGAGGAGUGUUAAGUUUAGUUCCCAUGUAAAGGUGGCCAUGCACGACAUGCAAAGGUGGUCAUGCUCGAAGAAAUAGCAGCAAGUAGUGGUGCCAUGGUGUGCAGCAACUGAAGUUUGAAGCUGCCAAUCCACUUGCUGUUUUUUAGUUCCAUUUUGAUUGUUUUGUAAUCUAGUUCAUGUUGAACUAAGUAGGUAAAUAUUUUGACAUUGAUUGACUGAAAAGUCAGCAAUGCAAGUUGUACAAGCUAAUCUUGUAAGUUUCAAUGCAAAUUAGUGGAGUUAGGUAGUUGAUUAGGUGAUUACUUGUUUGUUUUACUUGUUGACAGAAAUAUGUAAUGGCUUAA
This 4862-nucleotide long non-coding RNA is filed under the name Gossypium barbadense (sea-island cotton). RNAcentral describes it as "long non-coding RNA (GBAR_LNC006588)". Lineage: Eukaryota; Viridiplantae; Streptophyta; Magnoliopsida; Malvales; Malvaceae. The record is from RNAcentral.